CCUACGGGAGGCAGCAGUGGGGAAUUUUGGACAAUGGACGCAAGUCUGAUCCAGCCAUUCCGCGUGCAGGACGAAGGCCUUCGGGUUGUAAACUGCUUUUGUACGGAACGAAAAAGCUCUUAUUAAUACUAGGAGUCCAUGACGGUACCGUAAGAAUAAGCACCGGCUAACUACGUGCCAGCAGCCGCGGUAAUACGUAGGGUGCAAGCGUUAAUCGGAAUUACUGGGCGUAAAGCGUGCGCAGGCGGUUAUAUAAGACAGAUGUGAAAUCCCCGAGCUUAACUUGGGAACUGCAUUUGUGACUGUAUAGCUAGAGUACGGCAGAGGGGGAUGGAAUUCCGCGUGUAGCAGUGAAAUGCGUAGAUAUGCGGAGGAACACCGAUGGCGAAGGCAAUCCCCUGGGCCUGUACUGACGCUCAUGCACGAAAGCGUGGGGAGCAAACAGGAUUAGAUACCCUGGUAGUCCACGCCCUAAACGAUGUCAACUGGUUGUUGGGUCUUCACUGACUCAGUAACGAAGCUAACGCGUGAAGUUGACCGCCUGGGGAGUAACGGCCGCGAAGGUUGAAACUUCAAAGGAAUUGACGGCUGGAGACGNGNGAGGACGACGACGAGGGAGGAGG
RNAcentral lists this ribosomal RNA (623 nucleotides) under uncultured bacterium. RNAcentral describes it as "bacterial SSU rRNA". It matches the Rfam family "Bacterial small subunit ribosomal RNA", at positions 338 to 951 of the family's 1533-position model. The record is from RNAcentral.